Molecule: ribosomal RNA, 456 nt
Filed under: uncultured bacterium
Lineage: Bacteria
Description: bacterial SSU rRNA
Rfam family: Bacterial small subunit ribosomal RNA
Source: RNAcentral
AACGAACGCUGGCGGCAUGCCUAACACAUGCAAGUCGAACGAGACCUUCGGGUCUAGUGGCGCACGGGUGCGUAACACGUGGGAAUCUGCCCUUGGGUUCGGAAUAACUUCGGGAAACUGAAGCUAAUACCGGAUGAUGACGUAAGUCCAAAGAUUUAUCGCCCAAGGAUGAGCCCGCGUAGGAUUAGCUAGUUGGUGAGGUAAAGGCUCACCAAGGCGACGAUCCUUAGCUGGUCUGAGAGGAUGAUCAGCCACACUGGGACUGAGACACGGCCCAGACUCCUACGGGAGGCAGCAGUGGGGAAUAUUGGACAAUGGGCGAAAGCCUGAUCCAGCAAUGCCGCGUGAGUGAUGAAGGCCUAGGUUGUAAGCUCUUUGCCCGGGAUGAUAAUGACAGUAUCGGGAGAAUAAGACUCCGGCUAACUCCGUGCCAGCAGCCGCGGUAAAGUGACUACU